Molecule: ribosomal RNA, 253 nt
Filed under: uncultured bacterium
Lineage: Bacteria
Description: partial 16S ribosomal RNA
Rfam family: Bacterial small subunit ribosomal RNA
Source: RNAcentral
UAUGUAGGGUGCAAGCGUUGUCCGGAAUUAUUGGGCGUAAAGGGCUCGUAGGCGGUUUGUCGCGUCGGGAGUGAAAUCCACUGGCUUAACUGGUGGCUUGCUUUCGAUACGGGCAGACUGGAGGUAUGCAGGGGAGAACGGAAUUCCUGGUGUAGCGGUGAAAUGCGCAGAUAUCAGGAGGAACACCGGUGGCGAAGGCGGUUCUCUGGGCAUGUCCUGACGCUGAGGAGCGAAAGUGUGGGGAGCGAACAGG